AUUUAAAUAGUUUAAAAUAUUAAAACAUUACUUUUUCAAUGUAAAAAUAAUUUUUAGAUUUUUAAAUU
RNAcentral lists this transfer RNA (68 nucleotides) under Nyctiophylax orbicularis. Its description in RNAcentral is "tRNA-Glu". Lineage: Eukaryota; Metazoa; Arthropoda; Insecta; Trichoptera; Polycentropodidae. The record is from RNAcentral.